Molecule: long non-coding RNA, 417 nt
Filed under: Ananas comosus (pineapple)
Lineage: Eukaryota; Viridiplantae; Streptophyta; Magnoliopsida; Poales; Bromeliaceae
Description: long non-coding RNA (ACOM_LNC000520)
Source: RNAcentral
AAUAUUUUAAAAAGUAAAUACAGAUGCCAAAAGAGGCCUUUUUUUUUUUGAAAAAACUUCAAAUGCCACCCAUGUGAUUUCGUACUUUUUUAUUUUAAUACCUUGUGACUUAAAGUUUAUCAAUUUAGUACCCCAUGGUUUUAUUUUUGUCUUUUUAUUUGUUACUCUACUCUUUUUUUUUCGUUAAAUCAGUGAUAAAUUUAAAACUAAAAUUAUUAAAGUGAAUAUGUGAUAAACUUGGUGGAAUAUCUGAAGUUUUUUAUAUAUAAUUUAAUAAAAUGUUAACAAAUGAUCUAACGAAAAGAGAAAAAUGAAACCACAAUUUACUAAAUUGAUACACUUUAAACCACAUAGGUGGUAUUUGAAGUUUAUCCUUUUUUCACUUAUUUAAUCUUUAAGAUCAUUACUGUUGUAAAU